UGGACAGAUUAUUGUAUUCGACUGUAUUCACAGCGUGAAAUAGGGGAUUACACUGUUUUUAAAACGGAAAGUGAAUCAAUUAACAUAAUAGACUCCU
MicroRNA precursor from Nicotiana attenuata, 97 nucleotides. It matches the Rfam family "MIR6152 microRNA precursor family". The record is from Rfam. NCBI's taxonomy places the organism in Eukaryota, Viridiplantae, Streptophyta, Magnoliopsida, Solanales, Solanaceae.